This is a long non-coding RNA of Chrysemys picta bellii (western painted turtle), 1906 nucleotides long. Lineage: Eukaryota; Metazoa; Chordata; Testudines; Emydidae. The record is from Ensembl.
AUGGGUUCCUGUCCCAGGUCUCCGCUUUGGAGUUUAGGUGCCGCUUGUUUGAUGGGUAUUGUUGUUGGACAAAUGACCACUGCCCAGGUCUCUACGGGAUCACCACUGGUAUCUGCUGAUGUUUCGUCAGCUGCUCCAAAUGCAACCACUGUCGGGGUCUCUACGGUAUCAACUACAGCUGUGACAGUAACAGCUGAAGUGCUGUCAACCACUACAAACCCCACGGUGCCAUCUGCCACAACAGUAUCUGCUGAGGUUUCAUCCACCACCCGAACUGCAAGGGUGUCCACUAUUCCAAAUAGUACCACUGUUCAGGUUUCUCCAGGACCAACAUCAGCUGUGACAGAGUUGGCUGGGGUAACAUCAGCUACCCCCCGUGGCACAGUACCUACCAGCAUGCUAUCUACUGCUCCAAACGUGACAGCAUCUGCUGGGGUUCCAUCAGCUACUCCAUUUGUAAGCACCAUGGAGUCCACAAACUGCAGUGCAGUGAACACAACAGCGUGUACAGCUUGUUCACCAGGAACGUUUCCCAGCAAUGAGACAUUGGGUUGUUUCUGCUGCUCAGAGGGCUCCUGCGCAGAACCUAUUGAUUGCAUCUCCUGUCCAGUGGGUCACUAUCAGCCUCUAGCUGGACAACUGUCCUGUCUGCUUUGCCCACAAGGAUAUUACACUAAUUUAAUGAAAAGUGUUGCAUGCCUGCCCUGUCAGCCUGGCUCUUAUUCCAAUGAGUCUGGGGCACCAGCUUGCACACCGUGUGGAAAAGGGCAUUUCAGCUUCCAGAACAAUUCAGCAUUCUGCAUGCCCUGUCCACACGGAUCAUUUUGCAAUACUACCAACUGCAGCAAGUGUACAAUUUGCCCCACUGGAGAAGAGGCCCUUACAGAAGCAUCUGAAGAAUGUGCACCUUGUCUGCCAGGUACAUAUAAAGGCCCCAGCGACAGCAAAUGUGAGAUCUGCAAUAUAGGAGAAUACCAAGUACAAAGGGGCAAGGAGAGCUGUGACAAAUGCCCAGAAAAUUAUUACUGUCCUGUAAGUCUCUCUAAGCUGCAGCAGUGAGCCCAGAUGUGAACCCAAUUGCAUGUCCUUCUAAUGCCUUCUGCCCAGCUGGGAGCACUCAACCACAAUAUUGUAUGGAAACAUUUCUUUAUAAGGCAGGAAACUCUUGUGAACUGGCUCCUCUAACCAUUGUAUUACUAGCUGUUUCUUCAGCAGGUGAGUAGUAUUUAUGCUAUAGUAAAAGUGGAAUACAUUCCACCUGCAGCUUGGGUAACUUCUUGUUUAACAGUGGAGGUGUCCCCUUGGUGGUAUAUUCUUGACUAGUUUUCUGACAUCUUCAUUUCUUGUGUGGGUUCUCUUCUUUUGGCCACUGCUUGUUCCUUGCAUUUUUGUUUACAGAGGAAUUAAUUUUUUGUGCCUUAAUUAUGGUGCCUCCUAGGAUUCUCUAGUCUAUUUUUAGUAGAUUUCUUAAUAUCCCUAAAAUAUUGUCCAAAAGCACAAUAGUACAGUAUGAUAAAAAUAUGAGACAGCAGCUUUAAAGACACAAGAAUAGCAAGGGGUUGCUGUCAGAGCUCUAGUCACCACUUGCCUAGUCAAGGGUGCAACAUUUGACAAUAGUCAGUGGGUUGUUCCAUGUUGCUGCAUUACAGCUGUUACAUAUUGGCACAUUUCUGAAGCAGGCCAAAGAUGGUGCCUGUGCUUUAGUGGAGGGUGCCCUAAUAAUCAGAGGGAAAGAAGCUGAACACCUGAUAGUUUGUAGAGACACGCUGUGUGAUCCAUUUAGAAAUUCUGUGAUGAGGUGGCUUGGCCGUUCAAUAAGCCAGAUAUAGCCACUGAGAUGAGGAGACAGACUAAAAAGGUCUAGUCCUGUCCUGGUAACAGAAUAAAGCUCUGCAAACAUCCCUCA